AGAAAAGCAGGGGAUCGCAAGACCUUGCGCUUUUGGAGCGGCCGAUGUCUGAUUAGCUAGUUGGUGAGGUAAAGGCUUACCAAGGCGUCGAUCAGUAGCUGGUCUGAGAGGACGACCAGCCACACUGGGACUGAGACACGGCCCAGACUCCUACGGGAGGCAGCAGUGGGGAAUUUUGGACAAUGGGGGAAACCCUGAUCCAGCCAUGCCGCGUGAGUGAAGAAGGCCUUCGGGUUGUAAAGCUCUUUCAGCCGGAACGAAACGGUCACGGCUAAUACCUGUGAUCACUGACGGUACCGGAAGAAGAAGCACCGGCUAACUACGUGCCAGCAGCCGCGGUAAUACGUAGGGUGCGAGCGUUAAUCGGAAUUACUGGGCGUAAAGCGUGCGCAGGCGGUUUUGUAAGUCAGAUGUGAAAUCCCCGGGCUUAACCUGGGGACUGCGUUUGAAACUACAAGG
This 459-nucleotide ribosomal RNA is filed under the name uncultured Nitrosospira rt16S-7. RNAcentral describes it as "bacterial SSU rRNA". It matches the Rfam family "Bacterial small subunit ribosomal RNA", at positions 200 to 640 of the family's 1533-position model. Lineage: Bacteria; Pseudomonadati; Pseudomonadota; Betaproteobacteria; Nitrosomonadales; Nitrosomonadaceae. The record is from RNAcentral.